UUUUGUAGAUGAUAGACUUAACAAAAAAUGAAGAGAAAGAUCCUUACUGUAACAAGAAGAGAAAGUUGAUAGACAUCACUUCAGAUGAUGAAAAUGAUAAUAUGGAAAUAGACAACUAAGCAUUUGAAUAAAAGAUGGAAUGGAAUGGAAGACAAUAUUUAAUGGAAAACAUCAUUAUUUUUGUGAUAAAUUUUGUAAUAAAUUAUGUAAACAUAAUUUUUUUUGUAUUUCUUAUUUAUUGAUGUAGUGGUAUUUUUUUUAGGUAGAGACUUGUAUAAGAAUCGAAAAGAAAUUAAAAAGAUGCAAAUAUUUACAUUCCUUAAUGAAAACUUUUUUUAUAUCUGAAAUCAAAAGACAUACUAAUUUCAGUUAUUGAAACACUGUUUUUUUUUAUACAUUCAGUUCAAAUUGAGUUAAGUAUGAAUGAGGAACUAGAUACUCUCCUAAGUAAAUACUAUAAUGAUGUUGGUGGACCAGCUUCAUAUGCUUCUACCGAAAAACUGUAUCAUAUCGUAAAUGCAGAUGGGAAAAAAGUUGGUAGGCAUCAAAUUAAACGGUGGUUGAAUUCACAAGAUAAUUACAGUUAACAAAAAACACCUCGUCGUUCUUUUAAAAGAAUAAGAGUGUAUACCACGGGGUUGAAUAUUUAUGGGACGCCGAUUUGAUGGAUCUUAAACAAUUUUCACAAGAAAAUGAAAAUUACAAAUACGUGUUAGUUGUUGUUGACUGUUUCUCACGCUACCUUUGGUUACAACCAUUGAAAAAUAAAACGGGAGAUGAAGUCACCUCUGCAUUUAAAAAGAUUUUUAGUGAGGUAAAACCGGAAAAAAAUCGAACAGAUAAGGGACAAGAAUUUCUAGCCAAAAAGACACAGUCGUUAUUUAAAAGGAAUGGUGUCCGCCAUUUUUCGGCUCAAAAUGAACUUCACGCAAAUUAUGCUGAAAGAGUCUUACAAACUAUAAAAAAUAAAAUGUUUCGCUUUUUCUCAAAGAACAGAACACACAGAUAUAUUAACAACUUGCAAAAUUUUGCAAAAAGCUAUAAUGGUACUCCUCAUCGAAGUCUACAAAACAUUGCACCUAAAGACGUUAAUUCAGACAACGAGAGUGAUAUCAAAAAGUUACAAAAAAGAACAAUCAUCAAUUAUACUUGUUUUGUGAUGUAUGCAGUGGAGUGAAUGUUUUUCCCCAUAUACAAUAUUCACUUUUAAGAAGAAUAUUUCCCACAUGGAAUUAUUUAUUUUCGUCUCCAAUUUAUUUACCGGUAAAGAAAAACGAAAUUCAAGUCUUAGAAUUUCUUAUAAAAGAUGAACACGGAGAAAACGCUUCAUUUUUGAAAAAUAAUUUGUCUUUUACACUAAAAUUUAUACCAAGCGUAUUUUAGCGUAGAUAUGUCGAACAUUGAUAAAAUGUACAUUCCUAAUGUUGAUCUAUGGUCUAGAUAUUAUCAGAAUGUAAUUUCUGGUCAAUCGAACGCUUACGUAGCUCAUAUGAAAAAUGGACAUAAUAAAGGAUCACAAUCGGUAUCGUUUAUGAUUCCAAUUUCGAAUAAAUCUUAUCCAAUUCGUGUUGAAAAAGAAAACAACUUUGAUGUACGGUUAGUGUCGCCUAGUGAACAAAUUGUUAAUCAAGCAAAAGAAGAGAUUAAAAAUGACGAUGAGAGUAUAAAUAAAAAGAAAAGAAAGCGAAAAAAAAUCAUCAUUCGCCACAAAGCAGAGGAGGUGAAAAGAAGACGAAAAAAUCGAAAAAAGAUAAAACUGUUAAAAAACAUAAAAGGGAUAUAUUUUCAACAUAAUGUCUUUGUUAACUUAAGAGAAUUUUAUUGAAGCACAACCGCCAGAGUUACAGAUUUUUAAGAUACCUCCAUAUCAAGUAGGUUUUGAAAGUAUAACAUACGAGGAAUGCAGACCUGUUAGUCAAAUAACAGCUUACAAUCCUAUAGAAUUCGAUCUAUGCAAACAAUGGUAUGGAUUAUAUAGAUCUUAAAAGAUCGAAACUAUACGUGAAAUUGAAAGUGAAAAAAGCAAAUGGUGAAGAUUUACAAGAUGGCGAAACGGUAGGACCUGUGACCUAAUUUUACAAUCGCUUUGGUCGCAAUUGGAUGUUUAUAUACAAGGACAAAUGGUAACGUCUAGUAAUACGUAUUACCCGUAUAAAUGUAUGAUGAAAACAUUACUGCAGUAUGGCCAAGACGCAAAGAGCACACAAUUAUCUUCUAGUCUGUACUUAAAAGACAGAUAUGGUCACAUGGAUGAAAUAUCGACUAACACUGGACUGUAUGAACGCAGAAAAUUUAUUUCUAAUUCGAAAACAUUAGAAAUGGAGGGACCAGUUUUUUCUGAUAUCUUUGAGAUGGAUAGAUACCUGCUAAAUAUGUUAUCCCUUAAACUAAAAUUAUACAGCAACGAUCCAAGUUUUUGUUAAAUGUCUGGAGAAAUUGAAACUAACUAUCAUAUUUCUUUGGAAGAUGUCGUGAUAAAGCUUUGCAAGAUCAGACCUAACCCAGCUAUAAUUGUCGCUCAUUCAGAAGCUUUAAAGACAACAAGUGCUAAGUAUCCUUUCACAAAAACCAUGAUGAAAAAUUUAACAAUAAUGCAAGGAAGUACCUCGUUAAUCGUAGAAAAUGUUUUCCAAGAUGUGAGACCGAAAAGUAUUGUGCUUGGAUUGGUUUCUUCAAAUGCUAUGUCUGGAGCAUAUACAAAAACCCCAUUUAACUUUAAGAAUUAUGAUUUAAAACAGGUGACUCUGUUUUGUGACGGAAUACCAGUUGAUGGUAUACCACUCAAACUUGAUUUCAACGAGAAUAGCGGUGCAUCGAACGUUUCUCCUUAUGUAAAAAUGUUUGAAACAGGGGGAAAGUGGAUGUUGGAUACGGGGAAUGAAAUAACAAGGGCUGAAUUCAACAAUGGAUAUACGCUGCUAUGCUUCAACUUAGAACCAUUCUUUUCGGAUACCAAAUAUCUUUCACUACUGAAGCAGGGGAAAAUACGAUUGGAAUGUCAGUUCGGUACUCCAUUACCAGAAACAGCUACCUUACUGAUUUUAGCUGAAAACUCUGGAUACUUUGAAAUAACCGAGAAUCGACAAAUAAAGAUUGAACACUAACAUUUCCAUGUGAAUUGGACUUAUCAUGACUAUAACUGUUUGUUUAAUGUGUACAUAUGUCUUUUUUUUUAUAUUGUGUGUUUUACUGAUAAAUAUAUUCAAAUGAACGAAAAUAAACGACUGUAUUCAUUUAUAUAUUUUGUUUUAUUUGAAUCAGAUAGGAUGCGAAAAAAAAAAAAAAAAAAAAAAAACAUAGAUGUAAAAUACAUUACAAGAAAAAAGUAAUUAAAUUACCAACAAACAAAUUUUGGCAUACACAAAAUAAUAAACUGAAUUAAUACUAUCGAAUACAAUAUACAAUAAAUUAUAAUAAAAAUAAGAUGCAUCUACAAUCUCCCUCACUAUAUGUAAAAGUCGUAUUUAAAUCACCACAAAUUUUGAUAUAAAAAAAAAAAUCCCACUUCUUUGCUCUUGUUAUUAAUACACAUUUGACUAAAAGAAAACAAAAACAAACAAAACCAAAAAAAAAUCAAUGAAUAUUUGAACAUUUAAUAAACUACAUAUAUACAAAAAACCCUCAAAUGAACAAAUAAUAAUCUCCCUCACUAUAUGUUAAAAUCGUAUUUAAAUCACCACAAAUUUUGAUAUACAAAAAAAAAUGAACAAAAAUAAUAAUCAUAUACGAAAUAGUUAUAAGACUUGAAAUUUCCUUAAACGUUUUUACAUGAUAAAAAAUGUCAUUUGUUUAUAUGUUGUCUUCAUGUCCAAAGGCUCUCGUUGUCACACCAUCAUUUAAAAUCCAUCUUUUAUCAUCAAAAGGAACUAAUGAUUUUUUAUUAAUAGUUUUAGUAUAUAAAACAUGGCUUUCGCUUCUUAUUAUAUUUAUUUCAGAACGUGUAACAGUUUGAUUGAAAAGGCAAUUUUUGUACAUUUCAUGUUUAAGUUUCCUGGAUGCAGAUUUUGUUACUCCUUUUGCAGGAUGUUUUUCUUCGCCUUCAAAAGAAAAUGAAUACAUCUUCGAUCUCAGUCCAACAAAUUCACUUAUUGGAAUUCCACUUGUUUCAUCCUUGAAUUUGCCUAUUACUUUUUUAUUUUCGGUGUCAUGUAAAAAAAUGUUCUGGAGGAUAAUCACUCGUAUCGUACAUAUAUUGAUAUUGAUGCAUAUCUUCAUACACAUCUUCCGUUUCAACGUGAUAUAAAAAGCUAUCAGUAUCGGAAAAACACACACGAAUUUUAUCACCAUAAAGAGAUUUCAUAUGGUUAUAAUGGAAAUCAUACAUCAAUAACUUGGAUAUAACUUGGAUAAGUCUAAAAUGCAGAAACCUACAUAUAUUGGUUGUUUCAUUAAAACAUUCACACGAUUUUUCUCCACUGCUACCAAAUUGUCGUUAAAUAUUUUGCAAGAUGCGUAGGAUGGUUUAGCUGUUUCUUUAUUUAGUUUCUCUUCCGUGUGACAAAGUUUCACAUCUUUAUGGUUGCGUGUAUUGAGGAGAGUCCGAC
Molecule: long non-coding RNA, 4544 nt
Organism: Mytilus californianus (California mussel)
Lineage: Eukaryota; Metazoa; Mollusca; Bivalvia; Mytilida; Mytilidae
Exons: 3
Source: RefSeq, a predicted model, not a curated record